UAUUCUCCUUUCCACCACGUUAAAGGCCAAGCAAAGUCGACAACGCCGAAUCGAAUUUGGACGUGACUGGCGCCUUUGAUUCUAAGGAUUUCCUCCUUUUGGAAAAACAAAGUUGGAUGCUAGUACUUGUUAAUUGGAACUGGAACAUGGGAGGUUGGAGGUAGGCCAGCUCGCACUUUGCAGCAAAACAAGAUUUCAGACAAAUGGGAUACUGGGUGAUUAAGACUGCAAUUUGGCAUGCAAUCCAACAUCGUUAAUUCUUGGGUGGAAAGUCGACCAAAUAGAGUUUCUUUCUUUAUGUGAAAGAUCUUUGUCAGCCCUUGCUUUUAUGCUUUUGGACUUCAGCGCCUGCGCCUCCCUCCAUGGGAACACAGCAAAAAGGAGUCGCCGAAAAGAAAA
This 399-nucleotide long non-coding RNA is filed under the name Theobroma cacao (cacao). Its description in RNAcentral is "long non-coding RNA (TCAC_LNC000554)". The record is from RNAcentral. Lineage: Eukaryota; Viridiplantae; Streptophyta; Magnoliopsida; Malvales; Malvaceae.